RNAcentral lists this non-coding RNA (26 nucleotides) under Cricetulus griseus (Chinese hamster). The record is from RNAcentral. Lineage: Eukaryota; Metazoa; Chordata; Mammalia; Rodentia; Cricetidae.
GUUGAAGUUGAUGCAGAGAAUUCUGG